UAUAUUUCAUAUGCUGAAAAUGUUAUUUCUAACCAAUUGAAUGUUGCCUUUUCCAAGCCUACCUUCAGCCUACACCUCCCCCAUUAUAAGCCUGUAAAAACCCCAGAUUCAGCCAUACAGGGGGACUAUCUGCCUUUAGGUAUGAACUGCCCAGCUCAGGUUGCCUCUGUGCUGAAAGCUGUUCUGUCAUUCAAUAAAACUGCUCUAUGCUUUGCUCACUCUUCAGUUGUCCACAAAAUGUCGUUCUUCUUGGAUACAGGACAAGGGAACCAGUGGGUGUGAAACGAGCUGCAACACUGUAGCCCUUCUGCCCUCUGCUGGUGUCUGGUGACCACCUUACACAACAGGAAGCAGUGGCAGAACUGGACCAGUCCAGGAGUAGUGAGUCGGAGCAGUGCAAUGGGACCAAACAAGCU
Molecule: long non-coding RNA, 416 nt
Filed under: Callithrix jacchus (white-tufted-ear marmoset)
Lineage: Eukaryota; Metazoa; Chordata; Mammalia; Primates; Cebidae
Description: lncRNA (ENSCJAG00000051450.2)
Source: RNAcentral